RNAcentral lists this long non-coding RNA (679 nucleotides) under Elaeis guineensis (African oil palm). RNAcentral describes it as "long non-coding RNA (EGUI_LNC001517)". Lineage: Eukaryota; Viridiplantae; Streptophyta; Magnoliopsida; Arecales; Arecaceae. The record is from RNAcentral.
CACCCACACAUUGAUUGCACCUUAUCUAUAUUCUGUCUUCUUGAAAAGAUACUGCUUCAAUCAGCUAUCCAUUUCGGGGAUCGAUGAUGAGUGGGUGGUAUCAGUCAGGCCGGAUAUUGUUCUCAGCCGGUGAUGGGCGAUUUUUAGCAUUUUUUUAAAAAGUUUUCAUAUUUGUACACUCCUCAUCAUAACUAUUACGGUAUGAAUUCUUGAGGCACGUCCCCAACUUACCAAAAAAAACUCUAUAUUUUCUCUUACCAAAAAAAAAACACUGUUUUUUCUUACCCAAAAAAAAAUCUAUUUUGAUAAAUUUUUAUAUCAUCUUUUUCGACUGCCAUGGGCCCUGGGUCGCCGCAACACCCAGUUUUACCUCGAUCAGUAAUCUGUUGGUGUAAAAUCUAGCCCGCUUGGUGGGCUCUCAGGCGGAGAACGUGAGAGAAACCGUUGUGCCCACAGCAUGGAAAUGCCCACCGCGUUUUUGGUGGAAACCGUUGUGCCCACAGCAUGGAAAUGCCCACCGCGUUUUUGGUGGCCACACGCGAAUUCAAAGGACGAGAUGACGCAUGCAUCGUCACGUGAAUGCUUCGAUAGAAAUAUUGAAACAAAACAGCAAUUGAAGCAUUUGCUGUUGUUUAAUAAAACUUAUUUCUGAUCACACAAUCAUACAAUCAAUCAGACC